ACACUUCUCUUUAACCCAUAGGUAGACGAGCUACAAAGACUCUGAUUCUCAUACUCAUAUGAGAUACGUAGGCAGUGGAUGCGACAUCCUUGCGAGUCAUUUUCUUUUAACCUUCCUUUUAGUAAAUAGUACUUUAGAUAUGCCUACACCCUUUAGACUAGAACAACACUUAUGAAAAGGGCUCCUGAGCAGAGCUUCCCCACUUUUAGACCUUCCGUGCGUCUCCGAUCUUGUGGCAUGUCAGUCCGUUCUAUUGCAAAGAGGUAACUGCCUAAGACUUGAUUCAGCGAGCUGCGACACCUACUGCUAGGACAUUGAACACACUGCCCACCCUCCUUUGACACAACUGGUGUCCUCUUUUGUAAGUCCAUGUUCAGAUGGAAAUCCUUAACCCCUAGUUAGCCGAACUACGUUUUUCUCUGAUUCUCAUUCCCGAUGAGAUACGUAGGCAUAAGACGCGACGUCUUACCGAGCACACUUCUCUUUAACCCAUAGGUAGUCGAGCUACAAAGACUCUGAUUCUCAUAAUCAGAUGAGAUACGUAGGCAGUGGAUGCGACAUCCUUGAGAGUCAUUUUCUUUUAACCUUCCUUUUAGUAAAUAAUACUUUAGAUAUACCUACACCCUUUAGACUAGAACAACACUUAUGAAAAGGGCUCCCUAGGAGUACCUAGGAUGUUUUGGGUGCUUAAAACUUUAACCUUCCUUUUAGUAAAUAAUACUUUAGAUAUACCUACACCCUUUAGACUAGAACAACACUUAUGAAAAGGGCUCCCUAGGAGUACCUAGGAUGUUUUGGGUGCUUAAAACCUUC
Molecule: long non-coding RNA, 813 nt
Filed under: Lathyrus oleraceus (garden pea)
Lineage: Eukaryota; Viridiplantae; Streptophyta; Magnoliopsida; Fabales; Fabaceae
Description: Pisum sativum (pea) long non-coding RNA (PSAT_LNC009419)
Source: RNAcentral